GUGUUGUGAACUUGAUGCUUUUCUUUUCAAAUGUUAACCAUGUCUGAAUCUGUAAAAGAGGACAAAGAAUGUUCUUGUUGUAAUGAGACUAACUAGCAGGAGAAUUGCUCUCAUGACUAAAGUUCCAUGGGUCACAGGCCAUGAGAAGUGACUAAAGUUCCAUGGGUCACAGGCCAUGAGAAGAACACAGGUUAAUCCACCAGCCAAAAGCCACAUGCUUUUACUUAAAAAGUUCCCAACAAGAGAGUUUCAGUCUCCUACUCCUAGUCUGAGAAUCAGCAUCUAGGUCACAAUUUCGUAGUUUGGGAAACAGAACGGCAAAUAUCAUCCACAAUCGACUCUAUAUUAACAUACAAACCACUUGGAUGGAACUUUACUUAUCCUCUGAUCUGAACA
This 396-nucleotide long non-coding RNA is filed under the name Citrus maxima (pomelo). RNAcentral's name for it is "long non-coding RNA (CMAX_LNC003566)". Lineage: Eukaryota; Viridiplantae; Streptophyta; Magnoliopsida; Sapindales; Rutaceae. The record is from RNAcentral.